RNAcentral lists this ribosomal RNA (460 nucleotides) under uncultured bacterium. RNAcentral's name for it is "partial 16S ribosomal RNA". It matches the Rfam family "Bacterial small subunit ribosomal RNA", at positions 338 to 795 of the family's 1533-position model. The record is from RNAcentral.
CCUACGGGUGGCUGCAGUGAGGAAUAUUGGUCAAUGGGCGCGAGCCUGAACCAGCCAAGUAGCGUGAAGGAUGACUGCCCUACGGGUUGUAAACUUCUUUUAUAAAGGAAUAAAGUGAGGCACGUGAGCCUUGUUGUAUGUACAUUAUGAAUAAGGAGCGGCUAACUCCGUGCCAGCAGCCGCGGUAAAACGGAGGAGCCGAGCGUUAUCCGGAGUUAUUGGGGUUAAAGGGAGCGUAGAGGGGUUGUUAAGUCAGUUGUGAAAGUUUGCGGCGCAACCGUGACAUUGCGAUUGAGACGGGCAGUCUUGAGUGCAUUUGUGGUCGCCGGAAUUCGUGGUGUAGCGGUGAAAUGCUUAGCUAUCACGAAGCACUCCGAUUGCGACGGCAGCUUACUAAACUGCCACUGCCAUUGCUGCUCGCAAGUGUGGGUAUCAAACAGGAUUAGAUACCCGAGUAGUC